UAUGUGAAACUAGAUUCAUUAGGCUUUAAUUUCAUAUUUUAUUUUGUAACACCCCAAACCUGGCCCAAACGUUAUGGCCAAGUCUGAUGUGUCACAUUGACUUACGGUUGAAUGUGUUCUUUGUUUAUGGUAAUCAGGGUGAUUUUGUAAAACAAUGAUUAAUUGCUGACUAAGAAAAAAAAAACACUGAUUAAUUAAGUCUUUAGGUUAUCCAUUUGUUACGCUCGUUGUGUUUGAAAUCGUUUAUUAAUUUUUGAACAAAAAC
Molecule: long non-coding RNA, 265 nt
Filed under: Gossypium barbadense (sea-island cotton)
Lineage: Eukaryota; Viridiplantae; Streptophyta; Magnoliopsida; Malvales; Malvaceae
Description: long non-coding RNA (GBAR_LNC002166)
Source: RNAcentral